UGAGGAAUAUUGGUCAAUGGGCGCAAGCCUGAACCAGCCAUCCCGCGUGAAGGAAGAAUGCGCUAUGCGUUGUAAACUUCUUUUCCAGGGGAAUAAAAUUUCGUACGAGUACGGGACUGAAGGUACCUUGGGAAUAAGCAUCGGCUAACUCCGUGCCAGCAGCCGCGGUAAUACGGAGGAUGCGAGCGUUAUCCGGAUUCAUUGGGUUUAAAGGGUGCGUAGGCGGAUUAAUAAGUCAGUGGUGAAAACCUGCAGCUUAACUGUAGAACUGCCAUUGAUACUGUUAGUCUUGAGUACGGUCAAGGUAGGCGGAAUGUGUAAUGUAGCGGUGAAAUGCUUAGAUAUUACACAGAACACCGAUUGCGAAGGCAGCUUACUGGGCCAUUACUGACGCUGAUGCACGAAAGCGUGGGGAGCGAACA
Molecule: ribosomal RNA, 422 nt
Filed under: uncultured prokaryote
Description: bacterial SSU rRNA
Rfam family: Bacterial small subunit ribosomal RNA
Source: RNAcentral